This 427-nucleotide ribosomal RNA is filed under the name uncultured bacterium. Its description in RNAcentral is "partial 16S ribosomal RNA". It matches the Rfam family "Bacterial small subunit ribosomal RNA", at positions 354 to 796 of the family's 1533-position model. The record is from RNAcentral.
GUGGGGAAUAUUGGGCAAUGGGGGAAACCCUGACCCAGCGACGCCGCGUGAGGGAAGAAGGCCUUAGGGUCGUAAACCUCUGUUGUGUGGGAAGAAGAGCGUGACGGUACCAAGCGAGGAAGUCCCGGCUAACUACGUGCCAGCAGCCGCGGUAAUACGUAGGGGACGAGCGUUGUCCGGAUUUACUGGGCGUAAAGGGCGCGUAGGCGGUCAUUUAAGGCAGCUGUGAAAUGGUUUGGCUUAGCCGGAUCAUGCGGUUGAAACUGGAUGACUGGAGUGCUGGAGAGGCAAGUGGAAUUCCCAGUGUGGCGGUGAAAUGCGUAGAUAUUGGGAAGAACACCGGUGGCGAAGGCGACUUGGUGGCCAGCAACUGACGCUGAGGCGCGAAAGCCAGGGGAGCAAACGGGAUUAGAUACCCGUGUAGUCC